Molecule: long non-coding RNA, 566 nt
Filed under: Sorghum bicolor (sorghum)
Lineage: Eukaryota; Viridiplantae; Streptophyta; Magnoliopsida; Poales; Poaceae
Description: long non-coding RNA (SBIC_LNC004962)
Source: RNAcentral
UGGUGUUGCUUUAACUAUGAAUUUAAAGAAAAAAACAAAAAAAACAAACAAAUGUUGUUCAUAGGAUUUGAACCCAGGACCUCAAGGACAGCACUAACCUGCUCUAACCAGGUGAACCUCUUUGCUAUAUAUUAACAAAGUUUAUGUGUAUAUUAUAAAUAGAUAUAAUUAACUAAUUAAUUAAUUGAUUAAGUCAACAACGUUGAGGACCCUAUCUACAUGUAGGGCCGUUCCUGAGUUUUUUGAGGCCUGGGUGGAAAACUAAUACGUACGCCGCCCAAAUUAUAAGAGAUUAAGCCUAAUAGCGACCAUUUGCAUAGUCAAACCAUCGAGCUUAAGCCCAUAUAAUCCUGGUAGUCCGUGAAAUCUCGAAGGAUUUCAAACCACAUAUCGUACAUACAGCCAAGAUCGUAAUAAGUUCAGCGGUCACCAUUCACAGUUACAUCCAGUUCGAAAACAUUCAUCGAAAACAUCGGAGUGCUUAAAGUUAUUACAAACCAAGUUCACAGGUAGCGGAAGCUUCAUAGUUGAAAAUAACACACACACUUAGUCUGAUACAGUGCCAU